RNAcentral lists this transfer RNA (65 nucleotides) under Goniodes dissimilis (brown chicken louse). RNAcentral describes it as "tRNA-His". The record is from RNAcentral. Lineage: Eukaryota; Metazoa; Arthropoda; Insecta; Psocodea; Philopteridae.
UCUACCUUAGUUUAAUUAAGACGUUGAAGUGUGGAUUCAAAGAAAGAGUGAUCCUUUAGGUAGAG